AAAAGGGACGGGGUUUCGCCAUUCUCUCUCUUGCUCUGGCUCUUGCACUCUGGCUCCUAAAGAUGUAAGCAAUAGAGCUCUCUUGCUCCGGCUCUUGCUUCUUGCUCCUGACGAUGUAAGCAAUAAAGCUCUUGCACUCUUGCGCUCUUGCGCUCUGGCUCCUAAAGAUGUAAGCAAUAGAGCUCUUGCUCUCUUGCACUCUUGCUCCUGAAGAUGUAAGCAAUAAAGUUUUGCCGCAGAAGAUUCUGGUUUGCUGCGUCUUUCCUGGCCGGUCGAGAACGCGUGUAAGAGUGAAGCUCAGCUCAGAGAACCCCAUAGAAGAAAGGGAGAAAGGACUGUAGGAGUCAGAGGGGUUACGCACAGCAGGAGAACACAGCUCACAGACUCUGCUAAGUGAGGCUCACAGGGGCUCACAGAGACUGAAGUGGCAACCAUGGAACCAGCAUGGGUCUGCACCGGGCCCUCUGCAUGCAUGCUGUGACUGUUUAGCUUAGGAUUUCUGUGGGGAUCUCUCUGACACUCUGGCCUCCUCUUGGGAUCCAUUUCUUCCCACUAGGUUGCCUUGUCCAGAUUUGAUGUAGGGGUUUAUGCCCAAUCUUAUUGCAUCUUGUUAUGUCAUGCUUGGUUGACAUCAUUGGGAGACCUGCUCUUUUCUAAAGGGAAAUGGACGAACAGUGAAUCUCAGAGAAGUGGUGGUGGGUGGGGGAGAACUGGGAGGAAUGGAGGAAGUGAGGCUGUGGUUGGAAUGUAUUGUAUGAGAGAAGAAAUAAAAGUGAAAACAAAAUCUCUGAAACAGCUUUAUUCAGAAUAGCCCAGCCUUAAAAAAGGAUAGCCCAUCUGC
This 841-nucleotide long non-coding RNA is filed under the name Mus musculus (house mouse). RNAcentral describes it as "long non-coding RNA chr14:101583917-101584758". Lineage: Eukaryota; Metazoa; Chordata; Mammalia; Rodentia; Muridae. The record is from RNAcentral.